UGAUGAAGCCCAUUGCCAGGUGUUUGUGA
Molecule: non-coding RNA, 29 nt
Filed under: Mus musculus (house mouse)
Lineage: Eukaryota; Metazoa; Chordata; Mammalia; Rodentia; Muridae
Source: RNAcentral